RNAcentral lists this ribosomal RNA (403 nucleotides) under uncultured bacterium. RNAcentral describes it as "partial 16S ribosomal RNA". It matches the Rfam family "Bacterial small subunit ribosomal RNA", at positions 28 to 526 of the family's 1533-position model. The record is from RNAcentral.
GACGAACGCUGGCGGCGUGCCUAAUACAUGCAAGUCGAACGCAGUGGGGACGGGUGAGUAACACGUGGGUAACCUCCCAUCAGAGGGGAUAACACUUGGAAACAGGUGCUAAACCGAUACUGAUGGAUGGACCCGCGGUGCAUUAGCUAGUUGGUGAGGUAACGGCGCACCAAGGCAACGAUGCAUAGCGGACGUGAGAGAGUGAUCGGCACAAUUGGAACUGGAACACGGCCCAGACUCCUACGGGAGGCAACAGGAGGGAACCUUCGGAAAUGGAGGAAAUUCUGACCAGUAAAGGCGGCGUGAGUGAAAAAGGUUUUCGGAUCGAAAAACUCUUUUGUCAGAGCAACGGUAUCGAACCAGAAAGCCACGGCUAACUACGUGCCAGCCGCCGCGGUAAUUC